GGAAACUCUAGAUUAAUACCCCUAUAGGUCUUUAUGCUUGGAAUGGUUCAUGAUUCAAAUGAAUGUUCCCUGUAGGAUGGGAUUGCGAGUCUAUCAGCCUGUCGGUGAGGUAAUGGCCCACCAAGGCUAUAACAGCUACGGGCUUUGAGAGGAGUAGCCCGGAGAUGGGUAUUGAGACAAGGACCCAGGCCCUAUGGGGCGCAGCAGGCGAGAAAACUUUGCAAUGCGCGAAAGCUCGACAAGGUUAAUCUUGAGUGGUUCCUGCUAAAGGAACCUUUUGUUAGUCGUAGAACCUACUGCAUGAUAAAGGGGUGGUGCAAAGUCCUGGUG
RNAcentral lists this ribosomal RNA (330 nucleotides) under uncultured marine crenarchaeote. RNAcentral describes it as "bacterial SSU rRNA". It matches the Rfam family "Archaeal small subunit ribosomal RNA", at positions 135 to 457 of the family's 1478-position model. The record is from RNAcentral. Lineage: Archaea; Thermoproteati; Thermoproteota.